This 115-nucleotide ribosomal RNA is filed under the name Peribacillus simplex. Lineage: Bacteria; Bacillati; Bacillota; Bacilli; Caryophanales; Bacillaceae. The record is from RNAcentral.
UGGUGGCGAUAGCGAAGAGGUCACACCCGUUCCCAUUCCGAACACGGCAGUUAAGCUCUUCAGCGCCGAUGGUAGUUGGGGGUUUCCCCCUGUGAGAGUAGGACGCCGCCAAGCU